UGGCGGCACGCCGAACACAUGCAAGUCGAACGCAGUAGCAAUACUGAGUGGCAAACGGGUGAGUAUAAUGUGGGAAUCUGCCUUUUGGUUUGGAAUAACACGGGGAAACUUGUGCUAAUACCGAAUAAGCCCUUACGGGGAAAGUUUUAACGCCGAAAGAUGAGCCUGCACUUGAUUAGCUAGUUGGUAAGGUAAAGGCUUACCAAGGCAACGAUCAAUAGCUGUUCUUAGAGGAAGACCAGCCACAUUGGGACUGAGACACGGCCCAGACUCCUACGGGAGGCAGCAGUGGGGAAUCUUGCACAAUGGGGGAAACCCUGAUGCAGCGAUGCCGCGUGAGUGAAGAAGGCCCUUGGGUUGUAAAACUCUUUCGUCGGGGAAGAAAAUGACUGUACCCGAAUAAGAAGGUCCGGCUAACUUCGUGCCAGCAGCCGCGGUAAUACGAAGGGACCUAGCGUAGUUCGGAAUUACUGGGCUUAAAGAGCUCGUAGGUGGUUAAAAAAGUUGAUGGUGAAAUCCCAAGGCUCAACCUUGGAACUGCCAUCAAAACUUUUUAGCUAGAGUGUGACA
This 570-nucleotide ribosomal RNA is filed under the name uncultured bacterium. RNAcentral describes it as "bacterial SSU rRNA". It matches the Rfam family "Bacterial small subunit ribosomal RNA", at positions 37 to 653 of the family's 1533-position model. The record is from RNAcentral.